This 704-nucleotide ribosomal RNA is filed under the name uncultured Haplosporidia. Its description in RNAcentral is "SSU rRNA". It matches the Rfam family "Eukaryotic small subunit ribosomal RNA", at positions 1120 to 1829 of the family's 1831-position model. The record is from RNAcentral. Lineage: Eukaryota; Endomyxa; Ascetosporea; Haplosporida.
GGACUCAGGGGGAAGUAUGCUCGCAAGAGUGAAACUUAAAGGAAUUGACGGAAGGGCACCACCAGAUGUGGAGCCUGCGGCUUAAUUUGACUCAACACGGGAAAACUUACCAGGUCCAGACAUAGUCAGGAUUGACAGAUUGAAGUUCUUUCAUGAUUCUAUGCAUAGUGGUGCAUGGCCGUUCUUAGUUGGUGGAAUGAUCUGUCAGGUUAAUUCCGAUAACGAACGAGACCCCAGCCAUCUAAAUAGCUGUCGCUACUAUAUAUUAUAGUAGUGUGUGUUUUCACUUACAGCUUCUUAGAGGGACUAUCUGUGUCAACAGGUGGAAGUGUGGGGCAAUAACAGGUCAGUGAUGCCCUUAGAUGCUCUGGGCUGCACGCGCGCUACAAUGGUGCAUUCAGCGAGAUUAACCUGGCUUGAAAAGGCUGGGUAAACUUAAAAGUGCAUCUCAGUUGGGAUAGAUGAUUGCAAUUAUUCAUCUUGAACAAGGAAUAUCUAGUAAACGCAAGUCAUCAACUUGCAUUGAUUACGUCCCUGCCCUUUGUACACACCGCCCGUCGCUCCUACCGAUUGAAUAAAUCCGGUGAAUUGAGUGGGUUGGACGACRGCAGCUGCUCUUUUUUAGAGUAGGUGCUGUGGGCCAAGAAGCUCUGUGAACCUUAUUAUUUAGAGGAAGGAGAAAGUCGUAACAAGGUAUCCGUAGG